This 319-nucleotide unclassified non-coding RNA is filed under the name uncultured Hypocreales. RNAcentral describes it as "sequence contains ITS1". The stretch from base 1 to 105 matches the Rfam family "5.8S ribosomal RNA", at positions 50 to 154 of the family's 154-position model. The record is from RNAcentral. Lineage: Eukaryota; Fungi; Ascomycota; Sordariomycetes; Hypocreales.
GAAAUGCGAUAAGUAAUGUGAAUUGCAGAAUUCAGUGAAUCAUCGAAUCUUUGAACGCACAUUGCGCCCGUUAGCAUUCUAGCGGGCAUGCCUGUUCGAGCGUCAUUUCAACCCUCAGAACCCCUGUAUUUUUUGUACUGGGUAUGCUGGUGUUGGGGCCUUCUGCGGCUGCCGCAGGCCCUGAAUAACAGUGGCGGGCUCCGCUAUACUCCGAGCGCAGUAAUACUUUUCUCGCUCAGGGCGUGUAGCGGGGAUCUAGCCUUGUCUUCAUACUUAAAUGGUUGACCUCGGAUCAGGUAGGAAUACCCGCUGAACUUAA